Molecule: long non-coding RNA, 223 nt
Filed under: Homo sapiens (human)
Lineage: Eukaryota; Metazoa; Chordata; Mammalia; Primates; Hominidae
Description: non-protein coding lnc-TP53TG3-12:1
Source: RNAcentral
AGAGCGGCGCUGCCUGCGGAGGCGAUGGGGGAGAAGAAGGAUGGUGGUGGUGGGGGUGAUGCGGCGGCCACGGAGGGUGGCACAGGGGCUGCGGCCAGCCGGGCGCUGCAGCAGUGCGGGCAGCUCCAGAAGCUCAUCGUCAUCUUCAUUGGCAGCCUGUGCGGGCUGUGCACCAAGUGCGCUGUGUCCAGUGACCUCACCCAGCAGGAGAUACAGACCCUGG